This 413-nucleotide ribosomal RNA is filed under the name uncultured Rhizophagus. RNAcentral's name for it is "partial 28S ribosomal RNA". The record is from RNAcentral. Lineage: Eukaryota; Fungi; Glomeromycota; Glomeromycetes; Glomerales; Glomeraceae.
GAGAGUUAAACAGUACGUGAAAUUGUUGAAAGGGAAACGAUUGAAGCCAGUCGUACCUUCGGGUAAUCAGCCUUUCGGGUGCGAUUCUGUGGAGUGUGAGGAGCUUAAACACCUUCAUGUUUUGCAUAUUCGUACUCUUGGGUGUACUUGUCCGUGUGGUUGGUUAACAUCAAUUUUGGUGGUCAUAAAAUGACUGGGGGAAUGUAGCUUCGAUCUUUUAUUGAAGUGUUAUAGCCUUCGGUAGAUGUGAUGAUCGAGAUUGAGGAUUGCAACGGAUACCCUUCGGGGCUACCUGUCUGGUCUCUGAUCGUUGCUCUGGUGCCGAAAGCUUGCUUACGGUUAUCAAAGUCGAUGGUCAAUAGGUUAGAACGGGUUAAAUUCGUUAAGGAUGUUGACGUAAUGGCUUUAAACGA